RNAcentral lists this ribosomal RNA (372 nucleotides) under uncultured Rhizophagus. Its description in RNAcentral is "LSU rRNA". The record is from RNAcentral. Lineage: Eukaryota; Fungi; Glomeromycota; Glomeromycetes; Glomerales; Glomeraceae.
UUGAAAGGGAAACGAUUGAAGUCAGUCGUACCUUCGGGUAAUCAGCCUUUCGGGUGCGAUUCUGUGGAGCGUGAGGAGUUAAACGCCUUCAUGCCUGCAUAUUCGUGCACUUUGGGUGUACUUGCCCGUGUGGUAGGUUAACAUCAAUUUCGGAUGUCAUAAAAUGGCUGGAGGAAUGUAGCUUCGGUCUCGUACUGAAGUGUUAUAGCCUUUGGUAGAUGUGAUGACCGGGAUUGAGGAUUGCAACGAAUACCUUUUGGGCUACCCGCCUGAUCUCUGAAAGUUGCUCUGGUGCCGAAAGCGUGCUUACGGUUAUCAAAGUUGACGUUCAAAAGGUUAGAACGGGCUAAAUUCGUUAAGGAUGUUGACGUA